GGAUCAAAUGAUGAGUCUGAGAGACCAACAACAUGAUGGAUUCGUUCCAUGAUUCCUCGUAUUUAAGUCUCUGAUGAUC
This 79-nucleotide small nucleolar RNA is filed under the name Theobroma cacao (cacao). Its description in RNAcentral is "snoRNA snoZ199". It matches the Rfam family "Small nucleolar RNA Z199". Rfam says of the family: snoZ199 is a C/D box small nucleolar RNA, which acts as a methylation guide RNA for sites on 18S and 25S rRNA. The record is from Rfam by way of RNAcentral. Lineage: Eukaryota; Viridiplantae; Streptophyta; Magnoliopsida; Malvales; Malvaceae.